RNAcentral lists this ribosomal RNA (437 nucleotides) under uncultured bacterium. RNAcentral's name for it is "bacterial SSU rRNA". It matches the Rfam family "Bacterial small subunit ribosomal RNA", at positions 339 to 794 of the family's 1533-position model. The record is from RNAcentral.
AUACGGGAGGCAGCAGUGGGGAAUAUUGGGCAAUGGGGGAAACCCUGACCCAGCGACGCCGCGUGAGGGAAGAAGGUUUUCGGAUUGUAAACCUCUGUCUUUGGUGACGAUAAUGACGGUAGCCAAAGAGGAAGCUACGGCUAACUACGUGCCAGCAGCCGCGGUAAUACGUAGGUAGCGAGCGUUGUCCGGAAUUACUGGGUGUAAAGGGAGCGUAGGCGGGGAGACAAGUUGAAUGUUUAAACUAUGGGCUUAACCCAUAGUCGCGUUCAAAACUGUUUUUCUUGAGUGAAGUAGAGGCAGGCGGAAUUCCUAGUGUAGCGGUGAAAUGCGUAGAUAUUAGGAGGAACACCAGUGGCGAAGGCGGCCUGCUGGGCUUUAACUGACGCUGAGGCUCGAAAGCGUGGGUAGCAAACAGGAUUAGAUACCCUGGUAGG